This 465-nucleotide ribosomal RNA is filed under the name Vreelandella stevensii. RNAcentral's name for it is "partial 16S ribosomal RNA". It matches the Rfam family "Bacterial small subunit ribosomal RNA", at positions 338 to 795 of the family's 1533-position model. Lineage: Bacteria; Pseudomonadati; Pseudomonadota; Gammaproteobacteria; Oceanospirillales; Halomonadaceae. The record is from RNAcentral.
CCUACGGGGGGCUGCAGUGGGGAAUAUUGGACAAUGGGGGCAACCCUGAUCCAGCCAUGCCGCGUGUGUGAAGAAGGCCCUCGGGUUGUAAAGCACUUUCAGUGAGGAAGAACGCCUGGUGGUUAAUACCCAUCAGGAAAGACAUCACUCACAGAAGAAGCACCGGCUAACUCCGUGCCAGCAGCCGCGGUAAUACGGAGGGUGCGAGCGUUAAUCGGAAUUACUGGGCGUAAAGCGCGCGUAGGUGGCUUGAUAAGCCGGUUGUGAAAGCCCCGGGCUCAACCUGGGAACGGCAUCCGGAACUGUCAAGCUAGAGUGCAGGAGAGGAAGGUAGAAUUCCCGGGGUAGCGGUGAAAUGCGUAGAGAUCGGGAGGAAUACCAGUGGCGAAGGCGGCCUUCUGGACUGACACUGACACUGAGGUGCGAAAGCGUGGGUAGCAAACAGGAUUAGAUACCCGAGUAGUC